UGAUGCUGGAGGAGGGCGUCGUCGCCGAGGCCCAGGACAUCGACCUGUGCCUGCUGACGGGCGCGGGCUGGCCGUUCCAUCUGGGCGGCAUCAC
RNAcentral lists this transfer RNA (94 nucleotides) under Streptomyces camponoticapitis. Its description in RNAcentral is "tRNA-Leu". Lineage: Bacteria; Bacillati; Actinomycetota; Actinomycetes; Kitasatosporales; Streptomycetaceae. The record is from RNAcentral.